RNA transcript from Nyctereutes procyonoides (raccoon dog), 8515 nucleotides. It is a transcript of the gene named cyclin dependent kinase 12, with no coding region annotated. The record is from RefSeq and is a predicted model, not a curated record. The transcript is spliced from 18 exons. NCBI's taxonomy places the organism in Eukaryota, Metazoa, Chordata, Mammalia, Carnivora, Canidae.
UGCUGGGGAACUUUUUCCCCUUUUUGAGGGUAGGGGAAAGGGAAUGCCCAAUCCAGAGAGACAUGGGGGCAAGAAGGACGGGAGUGGAGGAGCUUCUGGAACUUUGCAGCCGUCAUCGGGAGGUGGCAGCUCCAACAGCAGAGAGCGUCACCGCUUGGUGUCGAAGCACAAGCGGCAUAAAUCCAAGCACUCCAAAGACAUGGGGUUGGUGACCCCCGAAGCAGCACCUUUGGGUACAAUUAUCAAACCUCUGGUGGAGUAUGAUGACAUCAGCUCUGAUUCAGAUACCUUCUCUGACGACAUGGCCUUCAAACUAGACAGGAGGGAGAAUGAUGAACGUCGUGGGACUGAUAGGAGUGACCGUCUGCACAAACAUCGUCACCACCAGCACAGACGUUCCCGGGACUUACUAAAAACUAAACAAACAGAAAAAGAGAAAAACCAGGAAGUCUCCAGCAAAUCGGGAUCGAUGAAGGACCGGAUAUCAGGAAGUUCAAAGCGUUCAAAUGAGGAGAAUGAGGACUAUGGGAAGGCACAGAUAUCCAAAAGCAGCAGCAACAAGGAAUCCAGGUCAUCCAAACUUCAUAAGGAGAAGACACGGAAAGAACGUGAGUUGAAGUCUGGGCACAAAGACCGGAGUAAAAGUCAUCGGAAGAGGGAAACACCCAAAAGCUACAAAACAGUAGACAGCCCCAAACGGAGAUCCAGGAGUCCCCAUAGAAAAUGGUCUGACAGCCCCAAGCAAGAUGAUAGCCCCUCGGGAGCUUCCUAUGGCCAAGAUUAUGACCUUAGUCCCCCAAGAUCUCACACCUCUAGCAAUUAUGACUCCUACAAGAAAAGUCCUGGAAGUACCUCAAGAAGGCAGUCAAUUAGCCCUCCUUACAAGGAGCCUUCGGCCUACCAGUCAAGCACCCGGUCACCCAGUCCCUACAGUAGACGACAAAGGUCUGUGAGUCCCUAUAGUCGGAGACGUUCUUCCAGCUAUGAAAGGAGUGGCUCUUACAGUGGGAGAUCACCUAGUCCCUAUGGUCGAAGACGGUCUAGCAGCCCUUUCAUGAGCAAACGGUCUCUGAGUCGGAGUCCACUCCCCAGGAAAUCCAUGAAGUCUAGAAGUAGAAGUCCCGCAUAUUCAAGACACUCAUCUUCUCAUAGUAAAAAGAAGAGAUCCGGGUCACGCAGUCGACAUUCCAGCAUCUCACCUGUCAGGCUUCCAUUGAACUCCAGCUUGGGAGCUGAACUCAGUAGGAAAAAGAAGGAAAGAGCAGCUGCUGCUGCAGCAGCAAAAAUGGAUGGAAAGGAAUCCAAGGGUUCACCUAUAUUUUUGCCUAGAAAAGAGAACAGUUUAGUAGAGGCUAAAGAUUCAGGCUUGGAGUCUAAAAAGUUAACCAGAGGUGUAAAAUUGGAAAAAUCUGCCCCAGAUACUGAACUGGUGAAUGUACCACAUCUAAAUACAGAAGUCAAAAAUUCUUUAGAUACAGGGAAAGUAAAGUUGGAUGAGAACUCUGAGAAGCAUCCUAUUAAAGAUUUGAAAGCACAGGGAUCAAGAGACUCUAAACCCAUAGUAUUGAAAGAGGAAAUUGUUACUCCAAAAGAGACAGAGACAUCAGAAAAGGAGACCCCUCCACCCGUCCCCACAGUUACUUCUCCUGCACCUCCUUUACCAACAACUACCCCUCCACCUCAGACACCCCCUUUGCCACCUUUGCCUCCACUACCAGCUAUUCCACAGCAACCACCUCUGCCUCCUCCCCAACCAGCAUUUAGUCAGGUUCUUACUUCUAGUACUUCAACUUUGCCCCCUUCUACUCACCCAAGGACAUCUACCUUGUCCUCUCAGGCAAAUUCUCAGCCCCUUGCACAGGUUUCUGUGAAGACUCAAGUGUCUGUAACAGCUGCUAUUCCACACCUAAAAACUUCAACGUUGCCUCCUCUGCCCCUCCCACCCUUAUUACCAGGAGACGAUGACAUGGAUAGUCCAAAAGAAACUCUACCUUCAAAACCUGUAAAGAAAGAGAAGGAACAAAGGCCACGUCACUUACUGACAGACCUCCCCCUCCCUCCAGAACUUCCUGGUGGGGAUCCAUCUCCUCCAGACUCUCCAGAACCAAAGGCAGUUACACCACCUCAGCAACCAUAUAAAAAGAGACCAAAAAUUUGUUGUCCUCGUUAUGGAGAAAGAAGACAAACAGAAAGUGACUGGGGGAAACGCUGUGUAGACAAGUUUGACAUUAUCGGGAUUAUUGGAGAGGGAACCUAUGGCCAAGUAUAUAAAGCCAAGGACAAAGACACAGGAGAGCUAGUGGCUCUGAAGAAGGUGAGACUGGACAAUGAGAAGGAGGGCUUUCCAAUCACAGCCAUUCGUGAGAUCAAAAUCCUUCGUCAGCUAAUCCACCGAAGUGUUGUUAACAUGAAGGAAAUUGUUACAGAUAAACAAGAUGCACUGGAUUUCAAGAAGGACAAAGGUGCCUUUUACCUUGUAUUUGAAUAUAUGGACCAUGACUUAAUGGGACUGCUAGAAUCUGGUUUGGUGCACUUUUCUGAGGACCAUAUCAAGUCGUUCAUGAAACAGCUAAUGGAAGGAUUGGAUUACUGUCACAAAAAGAAUUUCCUGCAUCGGGAUAUUAAGUGUUCUAACAUUUUGCUGAACAACAGUGGGCAAAUCAAACUAGCGGAUUUUGGACUUGCUCGGCUCUAUAACUCUGAAGAGAGUCGCCCUUACACAAACAAAGUCAUCACUCUGUGGUACCGACCUCCAGAACUUCUGCUUGGAGAGGAGCGUUACACACCAGCCAUUGACGUUUGGAGCUGUGGAUGCAUCCUCGGGGAACUGUUCACAAAGAAGCCUAUAUUCCAAGCCAAUCUGGAACUAGCUCAACUAGAACUGAUCAGUCGACUCUGUGGUAGCCCUUGUCCAGCUGUGUGGCCUGAUGUUAUCAAGCUGCCCUACUUCAAUACCAUGAAACCGAAGAAGCAAUAUAGAAGGCGUCUACGAGAAGAAUUCUCUUUCAUUCCCUCAGCAGCACUUGAUUUACUGGACCACAUGCUGACUCUAGAUCCUAGCAAACGUUGCACAGCUGAACAGACUUUACAGAGUGACUUCCUUAAAGAUGUUGAGCUCAGCAAAAUGGAUCCUCCAGACCUCCCCCACUGGCAGGAUUGCCAUGAAUUAUGGAGUAAGAAACGGCGACGACAGCGACAGAGUGGUGUUGUGAUAGAAGAGCCACCUCCAUCCAAAUCCUCUCGGAAAGAAACUACCUCAGGGACAAGUGUUGAGCCUGUGAAGAACAGCAGCCCAGCACCACCUCAGCCUGCUCCUGUCAAGGCGGAGCCUGGGACUGGGGAUGCAAUAGGCCUCGGUGACAUCACACAGCAGUUGAAUCAAAGUGAAUUGGCAGUGUUACUGAAUCUGCUGCAGAGCCAGACCGACCUGAGCAUCCCUCAAAUGGCACAGCUGCUUAACAUCCACUCCAACCCAGAGAUGCAGCAGCAGCUGGAGGCCCUGAACCAAUCCAUCAGUGCCCUAACUGAAGCCACUUCCCAGCAGCAGGACUCAGAGCCCAUGGCCCCAGAGGAGUCUUUGAAGGAGGCACCUCCUGCCCUAGUGGUCCAGCCUUCAGCAGAACAGACAACCUCUGAAGCUUCAAGCACACCAGCUGACAUGCAGAAUAUGCUGGCAGUUCUUUUGAGUCAGCUGAUGAAAACCCAGGAGCCAGCAGGCAGCCUGGAGGAAAACAACAGUGACAAGAACAGUGGGCCACAGGGGCCCCGAAGAACUCCCACAAUGCCACAGGAGGAGGCAGCAGCAUGUCCUCCUCACAUUCUUCCACCAGAGAAGAGGCCCCCUGAGCCCCCCGGACCUCCACCGCCGCCACCUCCACCCCCUCUGGUUGAAGGCGAUCUUUCCAGCGCCCCCCAGGAGUUGAACCCAGCCGUGACAGCCGCCUUGCUGCAACUUUUAUCCCAGCCUGAAGCAGAGCCUCCUGGCCACCUGCCACAUGAGCACCAGGCCUUGAGACCAAUGGAAUACUCCACCCGACCCCAUCCCAACAGGACUUACGGAAACACUGAUGGGCCUGAAACAGGGUUCAGUGCCACUGACACUGAUGAACGCAACUCUGGUCCAGCUUUGACAGAAUCCUUGACCCAGACCCUGGUGAAGAACAGGACCUUCUCAGGCUCUGUGAGCCACCUUGGGGAGUCCAGCAGUUACCAGGGCACAGGGUGGCAGCAGCAGAAGAAAGGAUAGCCUUUGAGGAAUUUGGUGAAGUCCAUCAGUCACCUGGCAUCUGGAGCCCUGAAAAGUUCAGUCUUUCAUUGACUUUAAAGCCAGAGUUGAUGGAACCCUUUCUCACCUGUCCAGACAUUGGGCAAGAUACCAGAAGUAGAGGCCCACAAGCCUGCUUCCCUCUAUCCUCAUUGCCCAGAACCAGGCAGGUCAUGGGCUUCCAGUGCCCACCCCCACCCUUCUUGCUGCCAGGUAGGCUCUUCUCUCUACCCACCAACCCCAAACAGGGUCAUAUUUCUCUCUGGAAGUAUUUCUCUCUGUUAUUUAAUAUCUCCAACAAGGGGAAGCCUUAAUGACUCAGCUCUCUGCCUGCAACUUCCAGUUUUAAUCUUUAGCAGGACCUUGCUGAUAUUAAAUAUCCACCCCUUUUCUAUAGUUCAGAACCAUUUUCCUCUUUUGGUAGAUGAGGAAAUAGGGAUCAGUAAACAGACACUUCACCCUGGAGUAUAGGGGUCCAACAAUAGGCAACAAGCACUUCUCUUGGGGCUGGAAGUCUAAAGCCAUAGAUGUGCAUUUUGCCCAGUGGCCUGGCAUCCUUGGAAAAUACCUGGGUCUUUUGAGGGAAAGGUGUGUUUCUCUGGUGUCUACUCCCAAGGACAAGGAUCUCAAGGCUCUGAGAAUCUGUCCUUAUUCAUUCCUAGACCUCCCCAGGGAGUAAGAAUGGAUUGCUGUAUAGCAGAAACCCACCACCAGGUGACAGUGUCUGUAGUUCAGGUGGCAUAGUUCAGGUGGCAGCUCUUGACUGGCACCUGUAAAGUUGGCAGAGGUGCCAGAGCCUCUCCUGCCAUUGUGUGACAUCAACUUACCUUUUGCUCUUAGGCCUUCUCUCUCAGCAGCUCCUCUCUCACCCCUGUAAGCCAGACAGCACAAACAUCAGCCAUGGUAAGUGCCAACUCUGGGUCAGGUUCUCCCUUCCUGAUUGACACAUAUCUUGAGUUGGAAUUAGGAUGCAGUGGAUGAAAGAAUAAAGAAGCAGGAAAUAUCCCUGGAAGUGGUCAAACAGUAAGUAUGCAUGGGUACCUUGAUGACUCAAAGAUCAUCAACAUUUAUAAUUCUGUCCAUCUGGAUAUCAGCCUGGAUGUCUGAUCUCUCAAAGCUGCUGGGCCACUUGGGCAGCUGCAGUCUUGGUUUCUGCCACACGAGGGUGCUGCUGACCAAUUAAAACUCCUGCCCCUUAGGCAGAGUUUGGGUGGCAGAGGCAGGCACCCUUUCCUCCAGACAGGGAUCAGAAACAAUCUGAGAGAAUCUGGGAGCCAGGCCCCAAGAAGUCAAAAGAAUAAUUAGUACCACUUGCUCUUCCUUAAAAAUGGCCUGAUACCCUGAACACUCCACCCUAGUGGCCUGACACCUCCAUAUGUUUCCAUCUGAAUUCAGGAAGCCCCCAGCGCUAGACACCACACAUCUUGCAUAGGUGCUUUUCUCCCUCAGGGUGUAGCAGGUUUCAGCUGCCCUUCCCUCCUACCCCCAUUGUCUCCCUGCCUCUUAAACAAUCACUUUCUAGUCUAGAGAGUAGGGGUUCCUGUGGGUUUCAGAGAAAAAAAUCUCACAGUCCUAAGAGAAGUAUCUUUGUUAGCGAUAGAGUGUUGGGAAGAGGAAAGUAAAGAAGCUCAGCUUUCUGUGCCCCUACCACCUCCGCCAGCAUAGACCUGCCAAACUCAAGAUGGUCCAAUGGAUGUUUGCAGCUUGCAUGGCAGGGGGACACCCAAAAAAAGGUGUCACGAAGCUGGAUAGGGAGGGGGGAUGCUUUGGCCCUUGAGCUUCAAACUGACCCCAUAUGGUGUACUGGUUCUGCCAAGGAUCCAAGUGGCCAUGGGGCCCUUAUGAGGGUGAGAUAUCCCACAAUUGAUCCUCAGUUUCCAUGAAGCCCUUCCAGGCUGAACAGACUAAGGGAGAUGGCAGAGGUUCUCCUCCUCCCUCCUACCCCCAUGCCCGAGGGCCCCUCCCCAGGAGGACAGCUUGAUUAAACAGUCGGUGCUGCUGGAAUUACUGCACAGCUGGCGCUCCCCCCAGCACCCCGAGCAGAGCAGCAGCGCAGAUUAAAAUCUCCAAUUAGCGUUAAAGUGAAGUGAGGAGGUACUGAGGCUGCCAAGGAGGCCAGGCGGGGGCCCUGGGUCUACAGACACCCCCACUGGUGCCUAGAUUCUGAGUACCACCUUCAGACACCCCUUCUUUUCUUGCUUCUCUCCCAACAGCUCUCAGUGGCCAUUAGCUUUGCAUUGCUUGGGGCCAGAGGGCUUUCUGAGGGGCAGAGGGUGAAGCAGAUGCCUUACCUGACAAAAUGCUGGGGACACCAUAAGUGUGGAGAAGAAUGAAUGAUCAGUGCUUGUCAGGGGAGACACCCUGCUCACAGCCUGCCAGGCGACCUGGUUGAGGGGACUUCACACUACUGCUGCUUCUUUUUGCCUAGAGAAAGGGCAAAUAGGACAAGUCCCUCUGGACCCUCUUACCUAUAAGGUGCUGGGUGUUGUGGUGCCCAUACAAACAUCCAUCCUUGUAUAUUUUAUCCCAUCUGACCCAUCUGCUCCCACCCAAAUUAUGGCUCUGUUCUUCCCUCCCUCUGUUAUUUUUCUCAGCUUUCCUAUGGGUAGGGGUAGGCACAGCCUAGCUUGGGAGCAUCGCCAUGCCCUGCCACCUGGGUCCCAGCCGGCUUCUCAUUACCUUCUUUGCAGUCUGGGAAGGAGCAGAGAUAUGCCAAGAAUGGAGGCCUUAGACUCUUGCAACCUCUGAACAUCACACCCUCUACCAUUUAUACUUUUACCUUUCACUCACCAAGCCCAGAAGGAGGGCAGCACAGCUAGCCACACCCUUUGACUUCCUUCUGCCCCUUUAAGGGAAAUGGAGGUUCAUACCCAGCUGACUGAACCUACUCACACCUCCAGAAAUUAGACACCAGGGCACAGUGCCACCCUCCCAGGCUGGCACAUGCUACUCUGGCAGAGGUUCAAAUAACACCCCCCUUCAUCCUCCCACCCCUAUGUCUUCCUCUUCUCUCUCCCUCUUUCUUCCUCUCUCUCUCUCUCUCUCUCUCUCUCUCUCUCUCUCUCUCUCUCUUUUUUUUCUCAGCUCAAAGCACAGCUGAGCCUUAAAAGGAGGGGGGGAGACCAAGCUGGGGCAGGGGGUGGAGAGCUCCAAUAGCACGUUUUCACCUGCCAUUUAAUUGGAUGUAUUUUUAAUUAAUGGGACCUUAGGGACCAACAUGAGACAAUCUGAUCUCUGAAUAGGGACAGGGGAGGGAUUGGGUUAGGGAGGAGGAUUGGGCCACUGGGUGCGGUUACUGGGAACCCAGGCCCAUCAAUCACUGGCCACUUUGCUCUCUGGCAUGGGGAAUAGUGAGGUAGAGGAGGAGGGGAGGUGCUGGGGAGAAUUGCCAGGAUUUCCCCCCAACUGCCAGGACCUCUAAAAAAGGAAGAACUGUACCAAUUGACUUGGGUUUGAGGCCCAAAAUUGCAGCCAGGAUAUUAGGUAAGGCAAUUUUCUUGCUCCUAGGAUUUUGUCCAGCUGGGCUUGUCCAGUGAGAUGUAAAACUGAAAUGAAAGUGGGACAGAGUUUUGAGGUCCUUGAAGAGAGGGAGCAAGAGCUAGGGACCAUAGAACCUGAGACGGUGUAUGAGGAAAGAGGAAGGCAGAGUUUAAAGAUAUUUCUGAAUGUUUAGACGUAAGAGAAGUGCCCUGGAGCUUACUUACAUGCAAAGCAGCAUACAUGUGAGGACUGAUGAUUUUGGGAUGUGAAUCAUAGAACCUUACUGCUGUAAAGGAGAAAACUUGGAGUUCAUCUUACUGAAUCUUCACUUUACAGAUGUGGAAAUGGAAACCCAGAGAGGAAAAAUCAGUUGAGUCCUGUCCUGGAAUUGCUUUGUGUUCCUGGCUUUGGAGACUUCCUGGGAACCCAAGGAAAGGAUGGUAGGUAGGGAAGAACAAGGAUGAAGUGGAUAGAGCCGACCAGCAAUCUGCCCACAGACCUGGAACCUGCAAUCAGAAAGGAAGCCUUUGGGUGUCUAUGAGAGGAUGCAUGGCUAAGGUCCUCCAUGGAAGCUGAAUGUGUCUCUGAUAAGGUCUGAGGAAACAGGCCAUGAUAAGUGAACUCUAUUCUGGAGGGAUGGAAGGUUCCAUGAGGACAUUGACCACGUCUGUUGAUACUCACCAAUGGGCUCCAGUGCCCAGCACAGUGCCUCACAUAAAACAGCUAUUUGGUAAAUAUUUCUUGAAUGAAUAAAUAAAUGAUGAAAGGACA